This 433-nucleotide ribosomal RNA is filed under the name uncultured bacterium. RNAcentral's name for it is "partial 16S ribosomal RNA". It matches the Rfam family "Bacterial small subunit ribosomal RNA", at positions 29 to 507 of the family's 1533-position model. The record is from RNAcentral.
AACGAACGCUGGCGGCAUGCCUAACACGUGCAAGUCGAACGAGACCUUCGGGUCUAGUGGCGCACGGGUGCGUAACGCGAGGGAACCUGCCCUUAGGUUCGGAAUAACUCCCCGAAAGGGGUGCUAAUACCGGAUAAUGUCUUCGGACCAAAGAUUUAUCGCCUUUGGAUGGGCCCGCGUUGGAUUAGCUAGUUGGUAGGGUAAAAGCCUACCAAGGCGACGAUCCAUAGCUGGUCUGAGAGGAUGAUCAGCCACACUGGGACUGAGACACGGCCCAGACUCCUACGGGAGGCAGCAGUGGGGAAUAUUGGACAAUGGGCGAAAGCCUGAUCCAGCAAUGCCGCGUGAGUGAUGAAGGCCUUAGGGUUGUAAAGCUCUUUUACCCGGGAUGAUAAUGACAGUACCGGGAGAAUAAGCGCCGGCUAACUCCGUG